Molecule: ribosomal RNA, 482 nt
Filed under: uncultured bacterium
Lineage: Bacteria
Description: partial 16S ribosomal RNA
Rfam family: Bacterial small subunit ribosomal RNA
Source: RNAcentral
GACGAACGCUGGAGGCGUGCUUAACACAUGCAAGUCGAACGAUGAAAUGGAGCUUGCUCCAUGGAUUAGUGGCGAACGGGUGAGUAACACGUGAAUAACCUGCCCUUAAUUUUGGAAUAACCCAGGGAAACCUGGGCUAAUACCGGAUAAGUAAACCUGUGGCAUCACAUGGUUUUGGAAAGUUUUUCGAUUAAGGAUGGAUUCGCGGCCUAUUAGCUUGUUGGUGAGGUGAUGGCUCACCAAGGCGACGACGGGUAGCCGGCCUGAGAGGGUGAACGGCCACACUGGGACUGAGACACGGCCCAGACUCCUACGGGAGGCAGCAGUGGGGAAUAUUGCGCAAUGGACGAAAGUCUGACGCAGCGACGCCUCGUGAGGGACGAAGGUCUUCGGAUUGUAAACCUCUUUCAGCAGGGACGAAGCGAAAGUGACGGUACCUGCAGAAGAAGCACCGGCUAACUAUGUGCCAGCCGCCGCCGUAA